Molecule: ribosomal RNA, 492 nt
Filed under: uncultured bacterium
Lineage: Bacteria
Description: partial 16S ribosomal RNA
Rfam family: Bacterial small subunit ribosomal RNA
Source: RNAcentral
AGUGAACGCUGGCGGUAGGCCUAACACAUGCAAGUCGAACGGCAGCACAGUAAGAGCUUGCUCUUACGGGUGGCGAGUGGCGGACGGGUGAGGAAUACAUCGGAAUCUACUUUUUCGUGGGGGAAUACGUAGGGAAACUUACGCUAAUACCGCAUACGACCUACGGGUGAAAGCAGGGGAUCUUCGGACCUUGCGCGAUUGAAUGAGCCGAUGUCGGAUUAGCUAGUUGGCGGGGUAAAGGCCCACCAAGGCGACGACCCGUAGCUGGUCUGAGAGGAUGAUCAGCCACACUGGAACUGAGACACGGUCCAGACUCCUACGGGAGGCAGCAGUGGGGAAUAUUGGACAAUGGGCGCAAGCCUGAUCCAGCCAUACCGCGUGGGUGAAGAAGGCCUUCGGGUUUUAAAGCCCUUUUGUUGGGAAAGAAAAGCAGCAGGUUAAUACCCCGCUGUUCUGACGGUACCCAAAGAAUAAGCACCGGCUAACUUCGUG